GAUUAAGUUAUUAAGGGCGCACGGUGGAUGCCUUGGCACUAGAAGCCGAUGAAGGACGUUACUAACGACGAUAUGCUUUGGGGAGCUGUAAGUAAGCUUUGAUCCAG
RNAcentral lists this ribosomal RNA (107 nucleotides) under Staphylococcus aureus. RNAcentral describes it as "partial 23S ribosomal RNA". It matches the Rfam family "Bacterial large subunit ribosomal RNA", at positions 1 to 107 of the family's 2925-position model. The record is from RNAcentral. Lineage: Bacteria; Bacillati; Bacillota; Bacilli; Caryophanales; Staphylococcaceae.